CCGUUCUCAACGGGGUGCGGCCAACGUUCGUGUACGUUUGCGUCGCUGAGAAAAUACCCGUCGAACCUGAUCCGGUUAAUACCGGCGAAGGGAUUUGAGACUGCAUCCCGC
RNAcentral lists this non-coding RNA (111 nucleotides) under Dickeya dadantii 3937. RNAcentral describes it as "TPP riboswitch aptamer (THI element)". It matches the Rfam family "TPP riboswitch aptamer (THI element)". From Rfam's summary of the family: Vitamin B(1) in its active form thiamin pyrophosphate (TPP) is an essential coenzyme that is synthesised by coupling of pyrimidine and thiazole moieties in bacteria. The previously detected thiamin-regulatory element, thi box was extended, resulting in a new, highly conserved RNA secondary structure, the THI element, which is widely distributed in eubacteria and also occurs in some archaea. Lineage: Bacteria; Pseudomonadati; Pseudomonadota; Gammaproteobacteria; Enterobacterales; Pectobacteriaceae. The record is from Rfam by way of RNAcentral. RNAcentral also lists the same sequence under 1 other name.